This 507-nucleotide ribosomal RNA is filed under the name uncultured bacterium. Its description in RNAcentral is "partial 16S ribosomal RNA". It matches the Rfam family "Bacterial small subunit ribosomal RNA", at positions 28 to 506 of the family's 1533-position model. The record is from RNAcentral.
GACGAACGCUGGCGGCGUGCCUAAUACAUGCAAGUCGAACGCUUCUUUCCUCCCGAGUGCUUGCACUCAAUUGGAAAGAGGAGUGGCGGACGGGUGAGUAACACGUGGGUAACCUACCCAUCAGAGGGGGAUAACACUUGGAAACAGGUGCUAAUACCGCAUAACAGUUUAUGCCGCAUGGCAUAAGAGUGAAAGGCGCUUUCGGGUGUCGUUGAUGGAUGGACCCGCGGUGCAUUAGCUAGUUGGUGAGGUAACGGCUCACCAAGGCCACGAUGCAUAGCCGACCUGAGAGGGUGAUCGGCCACACUGGGGCUGAGACACGGCCCAGACUCCUACGGGAGGCAGCAGUAGGGAAUCUUCGGCAAUGGACGAAAGUCUGACCGAGCAACGCCGCGUGAGUGAAGAAGGUUUUCGGAUCGUAAAACUCUGUUGUUAGAGAAGAACAAGGACGUUAGUAACUGAACGUCCCCGGACGGUAUCUAACCAGAAAGCCACGGCUAACUACGU